AGUGAACGCUGGCGGUAGGCCUAACACAUGCAAGUCGAACGGCAGCACAGUAAGAGCUUGCUCUUACGGGUGGCGAGUGGCGGACGGGUGAGGAAUACAUCGGAAUCUACUUUUUCGUGGGGGAUAACGUAGGGAAACUUACGCUAAUACCGCAUACGACCUACGGGUGAAAGCAGGGGAUCUUCGGACCUUGCGCGAUUGAAUGAGCCGAUGUCGGAUUAGCUAGUUGGCGGGGUAAAGGCCCACCAAGGCGACGAUCCGUAGCUGGUCUGAGAGGAUGAUAAGCCACACUGGAACUGAGACACGGUCCAGACUCCUACGGGAGGCAGCGGUGGGAAAUAUUGGACAAUGGGCGCAAGCCUGAUCCAGCCAUACCGCGUGGGUGAAGAAGGCCUUCGGGUUGUAAAGCCCUUUUGUUGGGAAAGAAAAGCAGCAGGUUAAUACCCCGCUGUUCUGACGGUACCCAAAGAAUAAGCACCGGCUAACUUCGU
This 491-nucleotide ribosomal RNA is filed under the name uncultured bacterium. Its description in RNAcentral is "partial 16S ribosomal RNA". It matches the Rfam family "Bacterial small subunit ribosomal RNA", at positions 29 to 506 of the family's 1533-position model. The record is from RNAcentral.